AGAGUUUGAUCAUGGCUCAGGACGAACGCUGGCGGCGUGCUUAACACAUGCAAGUGGAGCGACGAACCGGGCUUCGGCCCGGGGCAAAGCCGCGAACGGGUGAGUAUCACGUGGGUAACCUGCCCCGAUGACCGGGACAACCCGAGGAAACUCGGGCUAAUACCGGAUGUGCCCUCAAUCAACCAGGGUUGAGAACAAAGGAAGCUUCGGCCUCCGCAUCGGGAUGGGCCCGCGGCCCAUUAGCUUGUUGGUGAGGUAAAGGCUCACCAAGGCGACGAUGGGUAGCUGGUCUGAGAGGACGAUCAGCCACACUGGGACUGAGACACGGCCCAGACUCCUACGGGAGGCAGCAGUGGGGAAUCUUGCGCAAUGCGCGAAAGCGUGACGCAGCAACGCCGCGUGAGGGAAGAAGGCCUUCGGGUUGUAAACCUCUUUCAGGAGGGACGAAGGUUCAGGCGCGAACAGUGACCUGGACUGACGGUACCUCCAGAAGAAGCCCCGGCUAACUACGUGCCAGCAGCCGCGGUAAUACGUAGGGGCUAGCGUUGUCCGGAAUCAUUGGCGUAAAGCGCGCGUAGGCGGCCCGGUAAGUCCGCUGUAAAAGUCAAAGGCUCAACCUUUGAAUGUCAGUGGAUACUGCCGGGCUAGAGUCCGGAAGAGGCGAGUGGAAUUCCUGGUGUAGCGGUGGAAAUGCGCAGAUAUCAGGAGGAACACCGACGGCGAAGCAGCUCGCUGGGACGGUACUGACGCUGAGGCGGCGAAAGCGUGGGGGAGGCGAACAGGAUUAGAUACCUGGUAGUCCACGCCGUA
Molecule: ribosomal RNA, 810 nt
Filed under: uncultured bacterium
Lineage: Bacteria
Description: bacterial SSU rRNA
Rfam family: Bacterial small subunit ribosomal RNA
Source: RNAcentral